Molecule: ribosomal RNA, 484 nt
Filed under: uncultured bacterium
Lineage: Bacteria
Description: partial 16S ribosomal RNA
Rfam family: Bacterial small subunit ribosomal RNA
Source: RNAcentral
AUUGAACGCUGGCGGCAGGCCUAACACAUGCAAGUCGAGCGGAUGAAGGGAGCUUGCUCCUGGAUUCAGCGGCGGACGGGUGAGUAAUGCCUAGGAAUCUGCCUGGUAGUGGGGGAUAACGUCCGGAAACGGGCGCUAAUACCGCAUACGUCCUGAGGGAGAAAGUGGGGGAUCUUCGGACCUCACGCUAUCAGAUGAGCCUAGGUCGGAUUAGCUAGUUGGUGGGGUAAAGGCCUACCAAGGCGACGAUCCGUAACGGGUCUGAGAGGAUGAUCAGUAACACUGGAACUGAGACACGGUCCAGACUCCUACGGGAGGCAGCAGUGGGGAAUAUUGGACAAUGGGCGAAAGCCUGAUCCAGCCAUGCCGCGUGUGUGAAGAAGGUCUUCGGAUUGUAAAGCACUUUAAGUUGGGAGGAAGGGCAGUAAGUUAAUACCUUGCUGUUUUGACGGUACCAACAGAAUAAGCACCGGCUAACUUCGUG